Molecule: ribosomal RNA, 497 nt
Filed under: uncultured bacterium
Lineage: Bacteria
Description: partial 16S ribosomal RNA
Rfam family: Bacterial small subunit ribosomal RNA
Source: RNAcentral
GAUGAACGCUGGCGGCGUGCCUAAUACAUGCAAGUCGAGCGAACGGACGAGAAGCUUGCUUCUCUGAUGUUAGCGGCGGACGGGUGAGCAACACGUGGAUAACCUACCUAUAAGACUGGGAUAACUUCGGGAAACCGGGGCUAAUACCGGAUGAUAUUUUGAACCGCAUGGUUCAAAAGUGAAAGACGGUCUUGCUGUCACUUAUAGAUGGAUCCGCGCUGCAUUAGCUAGUUGGUAAGGUAACGGCUUACCAAGGCAACGAUGCAUAGCCGACCUGAGAGGGUGAUCGGCCACACUGGAACUGAGACACGGUCCAGACUCCUACGGGAGGCAGCAGUAGGGAAUCUUCCGCAAUGGGCGAAAGCCUGACGGAGCAACGCCGCGUGAGUGAUGAAGGUCUUCGGAUCGUAAAACUCUGUUAUUAGGGAAGAACAUAUGUGUAAGUAACUGUGCACAUCUUGACGGUACCUAAUCAGAAAGCCACGGCUAACUACGUG